ACUCUGCGGGAGGCAGCAGUGGGGAAUUUUGGACAAUGGGCGAAAGCCUGAUCCAGCAAUGCCGCGUGAGUGAAGAAGGCCUUCGGGUUGUAAAGCUCUUUUGUCAGGGAAGAAACGGUGAGAGCUAAUAUCUUUUGCUAAUGACGGUACCUGAAGAAUAAGCACCGGCUAACUACGUGCCAGCAGCCGCGGUAAUACGUAGGGUGCAAGCGUUAAUCGGAAUUACUGGGCGUAAAGCGUGCGCAGGCGGUUUUGUAAGUCUGAUGUGAAAUCCCCGGGCUCAACCUGGGAAUUGCAUUGGAGACUGCAAGGCUAGAAUCUGGCAGAGGGGGGUAGAAUUCCACGUGUAGCAGUGAAAUGCGUAGAUAUGUGGAGGAACACCGAUGGCGAAGGCAGCCCCCUGGGUCAAGAUUGACGCUCAUGCACGAAAGCGUGGGGAGCAAACAGGAUUAGAUACCCCGGUAGUCCCAUGA
RNAcentral lists this ribosomal RNA (473 nucleotides) under uncultured organism. RNAcentral's name for it is "partial 16S ribosomal RNA". It matches the Rfam family "Bacterial small subunit ribosomal RNA", at positions 335 to 800 of the family's 1533-position model. The record is from RNAcentral.